This 253-nucleotide ribosomal RNA is filed under the name uncultured bacterium. RNAcentral describes it as "partial 16S ribosomal RNA". It matches the Rfam family "Bacterial small subunit ribosomal RNA", at positions 524 to 776 of the family's 1533-position model. The record is from RNAcentral.
UACAGAGGUCUCAAGCGUUGUUCGGAUUCAUUGGGCGUAAAGGGCGUGCAGGCGGUCAGGUAAGUGGGAUGUGAAAUGCCCCGGCUCACCCGGGGACCGGCAUCUCAUACUGCUUGGCUUGAGUACGGGAGAGGAUGUGGGAAUUCCUGGUGUAGCGGUGAAAUGCGUAGAUAUCAGGAGGAACACCGGUGGCGAAGGCGCACAUCUGGCCCGAUACUGACGCUGAGGCGCGAAAGCUAGGGGAGCAAACGGG